GACGAAGGUGGCGAGCGUUGUUCGGAAUCACUGGGCUUAAAGCGCACGUAGGCGGUCCGUUAAGUGUCUUGUGAAAUCCCUCGGCUCAACCGAGGAAUGGCUCGGCAAACUGGCGGACUGGAGGCAGGUAAGGGUGAGUGGAACUCUUGGUGGAGCGGUGAAAUGCGUAGAUAUCAAGAGGAACGCCGGCGGUGAAGACGACUCACUAGGCCUGUCCUGACGCUGAGGUGCGAAAGCCAGGGGAG
RNAcentral lists this ribosomal RNA (245 nucleotides) under uncultured bacterium. Its description in RNAcentral is "partial 16S ribosomal RNA". It matches the Rfam family "Bacterial small subunit ribosomal RNA", at positions 524 to 768 of the family's 1533-position model. The record is from RNAcentral.